CCUGGUGGCUCAGAUGGUAAAGCAUCUGCCUGCAAUGUAGGAGACCCAGGUUUGAUUCCUGGGUCAGGA
RNAcentral lists this transfer RNA (69 nucleotides) under Bos taurus (domestic cattle). It matches the Rfam family "tRNA". Rfam says of the family: Transfer RNA (tRNA) molecules are approximately 80 nucleotides in length. Their secondary structure includes four short double-helical elements and three loops (D, anti-codon, and T loops). Lineage: Eukaryota; Metazoa; Chordata; Mammalia; Artiodactyla; Bovidae. The record is from Rfam by way of RNAcentral. RNAcentral also lists the same sequence under 4 other names.